RNAcentral lists this long non-coding RNA (1185 nucleotides) under Felis catus (domestic cat). RNAcentral describes it as "lncRNA (ENSFCAG00000048686.1)". Lineage: Eukaryota; Metazoa; Chordata; Mammalia; Carnivora; Felidae. The record is from RNAcentral.
AAGCAAAGAAAAUCCAAAACGCGGCAAAGCAAGUGGGGGAAAGGGGCCCAGGUCCGCACCUUGGCCGCUUAUACACACGGUUGGUGUAUUUAUAAAACCUGUUGUGCGAGUCGAAGGGGGACCAUCCAGGGUAAAAGUCAGACCCGUCCAUCCUCGUUCCUCCGGGCGCGCGGAGGACGCCAGGCGCUGCGGGGCGGCAUCCGGCCGUGGCCCCGGGGGUCGCGGGAGGAUGCGGAUCCCCGGCCGAUAAGGUUGCCCCGGGCAACCCCAACGCGCCGACCCCCACCCCCGCCGCCGCCCGGCGCCGGGAGGGCGACUGUGCCCUGCGGCCACAGGGCCCACCUUGGAGCGGUCGCCAACAAGGGCGACAGAGGCGACGGGCUGCAGACCUCACCCGCGCGGGGCCCUCGGAGGCAACGCCUGCGCGCCAAGGGCCGAGAGGGCGCCCCCCGUCGCCCCCCCCCCCAACCCCGGUCCCCCAGCCCGCAGCCAACACCCGGGGGCCGCCGUGCCUGCGGCCGCGCGCCUGGCACCCGCUUACCUGCUCGGCUGGACGGCGGCCGGGGCGCGGGGGGCGCGGGGGGCGCGGGGGCCUCGGCGCGGGGCGGCGUCCUCCGCGGCAGCCGGGCGGCAGGUCGGGCCGGGGCGCCGCGGCUCCGGAGCCGGUGUCGGAAGCGGCCUCGCGUGCAGGCCCGGCUCCCACCUGCAGCGCCUUUUAACCGCGCCCCACCCCGCCUCUGCCCUGACGCUCCCCCGCCGGCCGCGAGAGGCGAGCGCGCCGAGACCCGACGCGCGCCCGCCCCGGGGCGCGGGGUGCAAGGCGGGCCCUCCCUCGGGGGCGCGGAGAGCCGGGGUUGGACGCGGGGAGCGGGUGGCGCCUCCCUCGGGGGGGCGCCGCGCGCUGGGGGCCCGGCCGGACCUGGGCCUGAAGGGGUGGGGUUCCUGGCCACCGGCCCCGCGCCCAAGGGAAAGGGCCUGGGCCAGUGGGUCCGCAGCCCUCGGGGGCUUCCGAAGGAGGUGGACUCGCGGGGAUCGGUGUUGGGGACAGGGUUUUGUUUUUUUUUGUUUUUUUUUUUUUUGCCAGGACACAUCCUCUUUUUUUCUGGACGCUGCCACCUUCUAAGAGCCUGGCCGUGCGCGCGCCGGAGAGCAGCCUGGAGAACCGUGACUGUUGUUCUUUAUUAA